This 450-nucleotide ribosomal RNA is filed under the name uncultured bacterium. Its description in RNAcentral is "partial 16S ribosomal RNA". It matches the Rfam family "Bacterial small subunit ribosomal RNA", at positions 354 to 796 of the family's 1533-position model. The record is from RNAcentral.
GUGGGGAAUCUUCCGCAAUGGACGAAAGUCUGACGGAGCAACGCCGCGUGAGUGAAGAAGGUUUUCGGAUCGUAAAGCUCUUUCGUUAGGGACGAACGUGCUCUUUGUGAAUAAUGAGGAGUAAUGACGGUACCUAAAUAAGAAGCCACGGCUAACUACGUUCCAGCAGCCGCGGUAAUACGUAGGUGGCAAGCGUUGUCCGGAAUUAUUGGGCGUAAAGCGCGCGCAGGCGGGAUAUCAAGUCUGUCUUAAAAGUGCGAGGCUCAACCUCGUGAGGGGACAGAAACUGGUAUUCUUGAGUGUCGGAGAGGAAAGUGGAAUUCCAAGUGUAGCGGUGAAAUGCGUAGAGAUUUGGAAGAACACCAGUGGCGAAGGCGACUUUCUGGACGAUGUCUGACGCUGAGGCGCGAAAGCUAGGGGAGCGAACGGGAUUAGAUACCCGUGUAGUCC